UAAAGCUAUUAAUAGUUUGACACAUUGGGAAAUUAACUUAUUUUUCUUUAUCGGCAAGAGUUAGGUGACAAGAUAGAUACCACUCUAAUGUCUGUAUGUCUGUAUGCUAAAUAUGAAGCUAGAGCCAGAAGGUGGUUAGCUUCACUUAGCACAAAGACUGGAAACGGGGAAACAGCUAGCUCUGUCACAAGUCAUACCUCAGUGUGAGUGAAAGCAGUGAUGGGCAUCCCCGGGAUCCGGCUGUGCUCCAAGUGUCCAUGUCGCGGUGAAUCAAUGACCUGGUACAGGAAGUUCAUCCCUGAGAAGUGAUGAUUGGCGACCUUGAUGAUGUCAGAGGUCAGCGGCAGGGACGACCCCUCAUCAAGGAACAGAGUCGCUGGUGCUUCCUGUAGCCUGCUGAUGGUAGAUCACCAAUCCUUGGUUGACGUCCUCCUGGGUGAAGGAGUUUCUUGCCUGCUCUCUGGUGCCCUGCAUGGAGGAAUGGAGCAGACGAGCCAAUCAAGUCCUGUUUCUGUGUGAAUCCUGCGUGACAAUUUAAAGCUGAAAUGUGCAACUUUUGGGGCCAGUUAGGUUCUUACUUGAAGGUGAAAUAAUUUCACUUAUAGUGAAACUACAAUAAAUACCUGAUUAGGC
Micropterus dolomieu (smallmouth bass) is the source of this 633-nucleotide long non-coding RNA. RefSeq lists it as uncharacterized. The record is from RefSeq and is a predicted model, not a curated record. Lineage: Eukaryota; Metazoa; Chordata; Actinopteri; Centrarchiformes; Centrarchidae. The transcript has 3 exons.